This 1318-nucleotide long non-coding RNA is filed under the name Lonchura striata (white-rumped munia). Its description in RNAcentral is "domestica (Bengalese finch) lncRNA (ENSLSDG00000003141.1)". The record is from RNAcentral. Lineage: Eukaryota; Metazoa; Chordata; Aves; Passeriformes; Estrildidae.
UGAGGAUUUUGGGGUAUUUUAGGUGGAUUUUGGGGCAUUUUUUGGGGUGAUUUUGGGACAUUUUGGGGUGAAUUUGGGGUAUUUUUGGGCAGAUUUAAGGGGGAUUUUGGGGUGAAUUUGGGGGAUUUUGGGACAGAUUUAGGGAGGGAUUUUAGGGAUAUUUGGGGGUGAUUUUGGGGAUAUUUUGGGGAUAUCUUGGCGAUAUUUUGGGGUGAUUUUGGGGAUAUUUGUGGGUAUUUUUGGGUGAUUUUGGGGAUAUUUUGGGGUAAUUUUGGGAUAUUUCAGGGAUAUUUUGGGAAUAUUUUGGGAUACUUUGUGGAUAUUUUGGGGACAUUUCAGGGAUAUUUUGGGGUGAUUUUGGGCAUAUUUUGUGGAUACUUUGGGGAUAUUUUGGGGAUAUUUCGGGGAUAUUUUGGGGUGAUUUUGGUGUUAUUUCGGGGAUACUUUGUGGAUAUUUUGGGGAUAUUUCAGGGAUAUUUCGGGGCUAUUUCGAGGAUAUUUUGGGUAUAUUUUGUGGAUACUUUGGGGAUAUUUUGGGGAUACUUUGGGGAUAUUUCAGGGAUAAUUUGGGGAUAUUUCGGGGAUAUCUUGGGGAUAUUUUGGGGGUAUUUUGUGGAUAUUUUGGGUAUAUUUUGUGGCUACUUUGGUGAUAUUUUGGGGAUAUUUCGGGGAUACUUUGGUGACAUUUUAGGAAUAUUUUGGGUAUAUUUUGUGGAUAUUUUGUGGAUAUUUUGGGGAUAUUUUGGGGCUAUUUCAGGGAUAUUUCAGGAAUAUUUUGGGGAUAUUUCAAGGAUAUUUCAGGGAUAUUUCAGGGAUAUUUUGGGGAUAUUUCGGGGAUAUUUCAGGGAUAUUUCAGGGAUAUUUUGGGGAUAUUUCGGGGAUAUUUCAGGGAUAUUUCAGGGAUAUUUUGGGGAUAUUUCAGGGAUAUUUCGGGGAUAUUUCAGGGAUAUUUCGGGGAUAUUUCAGGGAUAUUUCGGGGAUAUUUCGGGGAUAUUUCAGGGAUAUUUUGUGGAUACUUUGUGGAUAUUUUGGGAAUAUUUCAGGGAUACUUUGGGGAUAUUUCAGGGAUAUUUCGGGGAUAUUUCAGGGAUAUUUCAGGGAUAUUUCAGGGAUAUUUCGGGGAUAUUUCGGGGAUAUUUCGGGGCUCUUUCGGGGACAUUUCGGGGCGUUUGGAGCCCGCACUCACUGCGGUAGCUGAGGUUCUCCGGGUACUCCACCUCCCCGCGCGCCAGGUCCCCGUUGGCUCUGCGGGCUGGGGACCCCUGGGUGAGCCCCCCACCCAAAAUUGGGGCUGGGUGGGACCCCCCGGCCCCCCCCG